AGAAAGAAUCGGACGGGAGGGAAGGAAGGGGGGCAAAGAGCACUCAUUAAGGCGAAGGCAACUGGGCAAAGCGUGAAUUUUAAGGCGAUAUAACAUAACAUAAUAUAUGAUAUGAAUUUGGAAUGUGUUUUAUUCUUCUGCGGGACCCAAACAGCGAAGAUUUCUCUUUUGGUCCGCUGAAGGACGAGAAGAAUGUGGAAUCUUCCCCAGAAAGAAGAUAAUAGGGUCGCACAGUGGGUCUCUCUGUCCGAAGAUAAUUCCAGAAGUGCUGCCGAAUUCCCCAUACAAAGAGAGAGAAAAAACAGGCUGGAGAGGGAGGAAAAAAUCAAGCGCCUGAGAACCGAUUCAUCUCGGAAGAAAGUCCAGCUAAAUCUAAGCAACUUUUGCUCGCAAUACAACGAUACAACGUGGAAGAUUUCAACAGAUUCAGAUUCACUCAUACAGAAUUGGCCCCCAUUCCCUAUUCCUAGGACAAUCUUCUGAACAAGGACAUGUUAUAGAAGGUAUGCCAGUGACUUUAACAAUAAAGAAAGAUUUCAAGCUGAGACUUUCA
RNAcentral lists this long non-coding RNA (553 nucleotides) under Salvator merianae (Argentine black and white tegu). RNAcentral describes it as "lncRNA (ENSSMRG00000002527.1)". Lineage: Eukaryota; Metazoa; Chordata; Lepidosauria; Squamata; Teiidae. The record is from RNAcentral.